CUACAUCACACACAUUUUACAAAAUUGUAUAAAAAUUAAGAUGCGUAUUAAACUGGGCCCACAAUAACAUGUAGGGUGGCCGAAAGCCUGUCUACAUACUAUUUUUGCAUAAAAUACUACGCCAAUAAAAUAAUAAUUGCUAGUAUGCCUUAAUGAAUCAUGUUUUAAUGUUAAGUACAUGUGUCAAAGUGAAUCCUUAGGAUGAACUGUAUCUGUGGGUGUCUAUCUAAAUGACUACCUUACCCAUAGGCCAGAAAGACUAUCAUCA
This is a long non-coding RNA of Etheostoma cragini (Arkansas darter), 268 nucleotides long. RefSeq lists it as uncharacterized. The transcript has 3 exons. NCBI's taxonomy places the organism in Eukaryota, Metazoa, Chordata, Actinopteri, Perciformes, Percidae. The record is from RefSeq and is a predicted model, not a curated record.